Molecule: ribosomal RNA, 429 nt
Filed under: Bacteroidota bacterium
Lineage: Bacteria; Pseudomonadati; Bacteroidota
Description: Bacteroidetes bacterium partial 16S ribosomal RNA
Rfam family: Bacterial small subunit ribosomal RNA
Source: RNAcentral
UAGGGAAUCUUCGGCAAUGGGGGGAACCCUGACCGAGCAACGCCGCGUGAGUGAAGAAGGUUUUCGGAUCGUAAAGCUCUGUUGUUAAGGAAGAACGAGUGUGAGAAUGGAAAGUUCAUGCUGUGACGGUACUUAACCAGAAAGGGACGGCUAACUACGUGCCAGCAGCCGCGGUAAUACGUAGGUCCCGAGCGUUGUCCGGAUUUAUUGGGCGUAAAGCGAGCGCAGGCGGUUAGAAAAGUCUGAAGUGAAAGGCAGUGGCUCAACCAUUGUAGGCUUUGGAAACUGUUUAACUUGAGUGCAGAAGGGGAGAGUGGAAUUCCAUGUGUAGCGGGGAAAUGCGUAGAUAUAUGGAGGAACACCGGUGGCGAAAGCGGCUCUCUGGGCUGUAACUGACGCUGAGGCUCGAAAGCGUGGGGAGCGAACAGG